Molecule: ribosomal RNA, 519 nt
Filed under: uncultured bacterium
Lineage: Bacteria
Description: bacterial SSU rRNA
Rfam family: Bacterial small subunit ribosomal RNA
Source: RNAcentral
AUGAGGCGCAAGCCUGAUGGAGCACGCCGCGUGAGUGAGGAAGGCUUUCGGGUCGUAAAGCUCUGUUGCCAGGGAAGAAUAAGGGUGUGUUAACUGCACAUUCGAUGACGGUACCUGAGAAGAAAGCCCCGGCUAACUACGUGCCAGCAGCCGCGGUAAUACGUAGGGGGCAAGCGUUGUCCGGAAUUAUUGGGCGUAAAGCGCGCGCAGGCGGUUCUUUAAGUCUGGUGUCUAAGUGCGGGGCUCAACCCCGUGAUGCACUGGAAACUGGGGAACUUGAGUGCAGAAGAGGAGAGCGGAAUUCCACGUGUAGCGGUGAAAUGCGUAGAGAUGUGGAGGAACACCAGUGGCGAAGGCGGCUCUCUGGACUGUAACUGACGCUGAGGCGCGAAAGCGUGGGGAGCAAACAGGAUUAGAUACCCUGGUAGUCCACGCUGUAAACGAUGAGUGCUAGGUGUUGGGGGUAUCAUGCCCUCGGUGCCGAAGUUAACACAUUAAGCACUCCGCCUGGGAGUACGG